Bombus huntii is the source of this 3205-nucleotide long non-coding RNA. RefSeq lists it as uncharacterized. The transcript is spliced from 6 exons. The record is from RefSeq and is a predicted model, not a curated record. Lineage: Eukaryota; Metazoa; Arthropoda; Insecta; Hymenoptera; Apidae.
UUUUUUAAACCAUUCUAAGGAUAUAUGUUAUAUAUAAGUAUAUACAUAUAUAUAUAUUGCUGAAAUAUAUAUAAAUAUACAUAUAAUCUCAAGUUUUAUAAAUUAUUGCUUAAAUAUUAAUAUAUGAUUGUUCGUAAUUUUAGGAUCAUAGGUAACAAUAAAAGUCAUUAAAAUAUUAAUUGCAAUGACUGCGUUCUGUAUUAUAGAAGAGCAAUUCCAAGAGAACGCGUAAAUUUGUAGCAAGUUACCAAAUCUAUACUAUAGGACCCUCGAUUCACACAAUGGCAGAAACCUUCACUGAGGAAAUACGUUCGUUGAACAUGCUAGGAGGUUACGUGGUCCGAGUGAAAGAAACCUAAUGGUAUGAUCUCGAUCCAUAGAAAGUGGUAAUUUAUGGUUAACGUUGGCGUUAAUUCACUUGAAUAGCAUCCUAGUUACACAUGCAAGCCAAAUUGGCAUCCCUAGGACGCGUACAAUUAUUCUAACCACUCAUAUAACGACUAUAGAAGUUAUAAUUGUUGGUAUUUCUCUCUGUUGUAUUUAUAUUCGUCUUAAUAAGAAGUUCAUUAACUGGUAGAAGCCAUCAUAAACAACAAUCAGAUUACGAAAAUGAUCAGGUCGAAUUUUUUCAUGGUGUCAAGACUGAUUGUCUAGCAGAAGACUCGUGGCGAAUAUGGGGUAACUAUCUGGAGCUAUUUCUCUAUUCAGAAACUUGACUGAUGCCAACUAACCUAAUCAUAUGGAACAGUUUCUAAACGAUUUCACGCAUUCACUUCGCAGAAAACAUUAACUCAUCUCCAAUUGACGCGUUUACUCCCUCAAUAAAGCGAUCUUCACAUCUAUUUCUAUGAUUUGUUCCUCAUCAGACAUCGUCUCCGCUUAUUAGCAUGUUCUUUUCAAUGAAAUUACGAGGUAUUGUAUCCAUGAGAUAUUAGAAGUACUUUUGCAACUAAAUUUUUUCUCAAAUUAUAAUAAUGUUUUUAACAAUUAUUUUUAAAGCGGAUAAUUUAAAAAAUUAAAGUUUGGAAGUUCAAAAUUGGAAGAUCUGAAAUUUGAAGUUUAAAAGAUUAAAAUUGUUGAGGUUAUUCGAUGUGUAAACAGAGAAAACACGUGGAUAAAUUGUAAGGCAGAAAAUAUAUUUAAAUAGAAGUGUAAUUAUAAGUAAGAAUACAAUUUAAGCUGGUCCAGAUCCGCACGCUAGCUGUGUUACCCAAUAACUGAAAACCCCGAAGCCAACGUCGCCUGUCUACUGUUUAUGGUCUGACUUCGUCGCAGUCUUUUGUCUACGCGCUGUCGCUGGCUUCAGUGCUUGAGAAAAUUAAAAAGACCAGAUGUAGAGUUUUCUUAGGAGUGGUAAUCACUUCAACAAAAAUUGUUCUUGUGAAAUUUUGACUAUUCGAAAAAAUGAGAUAGAAUGGAACGUACAUAUGAAGCCAUGUAUAACAGUUAAAUCGCAAUAAUGAGGCCAAAUAGUAUGGCAAAUAAUCAUACGAGCCGAAUGACAUGAUCGUCAUCCAACACUACUAUUAUAUUCGUUUCGUAAAACGUAUUACUCGCUCAGGAUUGCCGGCAGUUACUUAAAUCGCCAAACGUAGGCGAUUCUUACAACAUGCUCGAGCACGCGGGAAUCACUUUCCCCGCAACCCCUUAUAAAUUCACUAUUAAUUCCUCCUUCCAGCUAUUUGAGUAAAAUAUCAAUUUUUAAUCAAUGAUUCAAAUACAAAAAUUAUAUCCUUCGAGAUUCCUAAUUACAUGUGUGACUAUAAUUACUACAGAGCUAAAAACUAUAAGGAAGAUAUUUAACUUACUUCAAAACUGAAAUGAGAGAGCAGAGAGAAGACUAAUUUGUCUGUGUUUCCAGAUGAUUAAUGGAAUAAAAAUGAUAAAGAAAACACACAAAAAUCACUCAGAUACAAUAAAAAGCGCAAAGUCGAUACAAAGAUAUAUAUACGGCUCUCAAUGCAGAAUUAAUAACUCUUUUAUUCAUAAAGUAGCUGAUUUGUUGAACCUGUAAUCAGCUGUUAUGAAUAUAUUCCUUCAACUACUACAUAGGGGCUUUAUUGUAUUUACAGAAUUACAACCACACGACGAUGAAUAGUACAAAACAUCCAGGAAUGAAUAUUGAAUGGAUCUGUCAUAAACUUGUCCCAAAAAAGCAUCCAGUAGCCAUACCCAAUCACUCAGGACACCUUUACUCUAUUUAUAAUCUCACUAAGUUAUUCAACCUUGAAAGGAUCAACCAGCAAAUUGAAAAAUCACUUGAGUUUCUAUUACGAAGAUAAAGGGAUCACACUAAAUGACCUACAGGAUCAAUAGUUUCGCAAAACAACUCAUAGUAGUCUCUAUAGUACACACGUGGUUAGACUAUACCAAUUUGCUAUAAUGAUUCGCCUUUGGCAUAUUUACAGCCGCUAAUUCGUUUCCUAAUCUGAUUUCGUAAUUUCAGUAUAGUGUUGCGUUAUCUUGAAUAGCCGAUACAGGCCAGUCUGUGACGGGACACUUGAUUAGUCCCGACAUAAUUAUCGCUAAUUAUAGCUGACACAGUGAAAAUGAGUUCGGGGUAGAGGCUGGCCUGCAUGGAAGCUCGUGUCCCAUAAGAGCGCCCAGAUUCUGUCUUUCUCUUUCUAAUGUUUGCCACGGAAUCACGGAGUGAACGUUUUGAUGCACCGUCUACUCCGUAAUCGGGGAUAAACGAUUAUACAUCCUGAGGGUUGCUCUCGGAUUCUCUCAAUGGGAUUGAAGCUGCUGGAAUCUUUUUUCUAAUUUAUCCUAGUCACUAUCAGAUCCAACAGAGCUAACAUCUGAUCGUCAAUCCAGCAUAUUUAUUGCAUCGUAGAAGUACCAACGUAACGCGUCUCUUCUCACUGACCGUUCUCCGACAGUUUUAAACGAAGUCAAGGAAAUUAACUUUAAAUGGAGCGUUGGGGCUCGCAGAAAGCACUUUCAAAACUGUUGUAGCACCGAUUAAACCAGCAACUCAUCUUUCACGUCGGCCAAUCUUAGACCGCGAAUCAGACGCAUCCUAUCCGAUUACGUCACGUUGUUUUCUCACACAUCCCCUGUCACCGGUGGAAGGACAAAACUGCUCGUGUUUGUCCUUCCUGUUUCUAUGGGGCUCAGUUCUGCGUCUUCAAUGCGAGAGAUUAGUUGAAAGUUUAAUCAUUAUUGACUUUAAAAAUAGGAAAAUAAAAGAUUUUGUGGUUGA